RNAcentral lists this ribosomal RNA (520 nucleotides) under uncultured bacterium. RNAcentral's name for it is "bacterial SSU rRNA". It matches the Rfam family "Bacterial small subunit ribosomal RNA", at positions 26 to 518 of the family's 1533-position model. The record is from RNAcentral.
AGGACGAACGCUGGCGGCGUGCCUAAUACAUGCAAGUCGAACGGUCUUUCUAUGGAAGCUUGCUUCCACUGAGAAGAUAGUGGCGAACGGGUGAGUAACACGUGGGUAACCUGCCCAUAAGAGGGGGAUAACAUCCGGAAACGGGUGCUAAUACCGCAUAGUUUUCUUGAUUGCAUGAUUGAGAAAGGAAAGACGGCCUUUGUGCUGUCGCUUAUGGAUGGACCCGCGGCGUAUUAGUUAGUUGGUGAGGUAACGGCUCACCAAGACGAUGAUACGUAGCCGACCUGAGAGGGUGAUCGGCCACAUUGGGACUGAGACACGGCCCAAACUCCUACGGGAGGCAGCAGUAGGGAAUCUUCCGCAAUGGACGAAAGUCUGACGGAGCAACGCCGCGUGAGUGAAGAAAAGGUUUUCGGAUCGUAAAACUCUGUUGUCAGAGAAGAACAAGUUGGAGAGUAACUGCUCCAGCCUUGACGGUAUCUGACCAGAAAGCCACGGCUAACUACGUGCCAGCAGCCGC